UACGGAGGAUCCAAGCGUUAUCCGGAAUCAUUGGGUUUAAAGGGUCCGUAGGCGGACCGGUAAGUCAGUGGUGAAAUCUCCCCGCUCAACGGGGAAACGGCCAUUGAUACUGCCGGUCUUGAAUUAUUAGGAAGUAACUAGAAUAUGUAGUGUAGCGGUGAAAUGCUUAGAUAUUACAUGGAAUACCGAUUGCGAAGGCAGGUUACUACUAAUUGAUUGACGCUGAUGGACGAAAGCGUGGGUAGCGAACAGG
Molecule: ribosomal RNA, 253 nt
Filed under: uncultured bacterium
Lineage: Bacteria
Description: partial 16S ribosomal RNA
Rfam family: Bacterial small subunit ribosomal RNA
Source: RNAcentral